This 726-nucleotide ribosomal RNA is filed under the name uncultured Propionibacterium sp. RNAcentral describes it as "bacterial SSU rRNA". It matches the Rfam family "Bacterial small subunit ribosomal RNA", at positions 658 to 1384 of the family's 1533-position model. Lineage: Bacteria; Bacillati; Actinomycetota; Actinomycetes; Propionibacteriales; Propionibacteriaceae. The record is from RNAcentral.
AGAAUGGAAUUCCUGGUGGAGCGGUGGAAUGCGCAGAUAUCAGGAGGAACACCAGUGGCGAAGGCGGUUCUCUGGGCCUUUCCUGACGCUGAGGAGUGAAAGCGUGGGGAGCGAACAGGCUUAGAUACCCUGGUAGUCCACGCUGUAAACGGUGGGUACUAGGUGUGGAGUCCUUCCAGGGUUCCGUGCCGUAGCUAACGCUUUAAGUACCCCGCCUGGGGAGUACGGCCGCAAGGCUAAAACUCAAAGGAAUUGACGGGGCCCCGCACAAGCGGCGGAGCAUGCGGAUUAAUUCGAUGCAACGCGUAGAACCUUACCUGGGUUUGACAUGAUCGGGAGUGCUCAGAGAUGGGUGUGCCUCUUUUGGGGUCGGUUCACAGGUGGUGCAUGGCUGUCGUCAGCUCGUGUCGUGAGAUGUUGGGUUAAGUCCCGCAACGAGCGCAACCCUUGUUCACUGUUGCCAGCACGUUAUGGUGGGGACUCAGUGGAGACCGCCGGGGUCAACUCGGAGGAAGGUGGGGAUGACGUCAAGUCAUCAUGCCCCUUAUGUCCAGGGCUUCACGCAUGCUACAAUGGCUGGUACAGAGAGUGGCGAGCCUGUGAGGGUGAGCGAAUCUCGGAAAGCCGGUCUCAGUUCGGAUUGGGGUCUGCAACUCGACCUCAUGAAGUCGGAGUCGCUAGUAAUCGCAGAUCAGCACGCUGCGGUGAAUACGUUCCCGGGGCUGU